Molecule: long non-coding RNA, 218 nt
Filed under: Hordeum vulgare
Lineage: Eukaryota; Viridiplantae; Streptophyta; Magnoliopsida; Poales; Poaceae
Description: long non-coding RNA (HVUL_LNC005863)
Source: RNAcentral
UUUGAUUUCGAACAACACAUGCGAAUUAAGAUUGUUCCACGAUUCAGUUCGAACCACAGAGGGAAUAGCGAACUGAACAAGUCGAGGUUAGACCAAGCUUUUCUAAUCUGCAGGGAGCGACGAAGAACCAACAAUCGUACAUAACAGAGAUGCAGGAGACCAACUAGCAAGACAAAAUCACAAGCACUAUAUUUGCACAGACAAGUUUGAUUUCCAAC